Molecule: transfer RNA, 77 nt
Filed under: Actinomycetota bacterium
Lineage: Bacteria; Bacillati; Actinomycetota
Description: Actinobacteria bacterium tRNA-Thr
Rfam family: tRNA
About the family: Transfer RNA (tRNA) molecules are approximately 80 nucleotides in length. Their secondary structure includes four short double-helical elements and three loops (D, anti-codon, and T loops).
Source: RNAcentral
GCCCGGAUAGCUCAGUCGGCCAGAGCACCUGUCUUGUAAACAGGGGGUCGAGGGUUCGAAUCCCUCUUCGGGCUCCC